Molecule: ribosomal RNA, 111 nt
Filed under: Bacteroidales bacterium
Lineage: Bacteria; Pseudomonadati; Bacteroidota; Bacteroidia; Bacteroidales
Source: RNAcentral
UAAGGUGACUACUGCGGUGGGGUUCACCUCUUCCCAUUCCGAACAGAGAAGUUAAGCCCACCAGCGCCGAUGGUACUGCAGUCUUUGUGGGAGAGUAGGUCGUCGCCAAAC